CUAAAAUGCUUUUAUGUAUUGAUCUUAGGGAUUACUUCGAUUUUUAUAGGAUAUAUACGGGGCAUUAUUAAAGUCAGACUAGCAUUUAUGUGAAUCCACAUCUGACAAUGGUGAUCUCAUGCUAGUUAUGUUACUGCAGACAUUUUUACGUCAAAAGAUAAAUUUGUGCAUGGAUAAAGCUGGAAACAAGAGUUUAGACAGAAAGAUGGAUAGUGAACCACCAUCGGUUAUUAGUGUUGAGGAGUCUAUACUGCAUGAAAGCCAUUCUACCAAAUCUCAUGGUACUGCUAAGGCAGGCCAUUGUGGUACCAAACCUGCAAAUAGCAGUUCAAAGGUGAAUGAGAGUACUGCUAAUUCUAGUGUUCUUCGUUAUGCUCUACAUCUCUGGUUCUUGUGUCCCUACCCGAAGAAGAGCACAAAAUCAGGUAUUCAGUGCAAAGAUGAUCAGGCAAGACGAUUCUACUUGUAUAAUGAUAUGAGAGUAGUUUUCCCUCAACGACAUUCAGAUGC
Molecule: unclassified non-coding RNA, 510 nt
Filed under: Hevea brasiliensis (rubber tree)
Lineage: Eukaryota; Viridiplantae; Streptophyta; Magnoliopsida; Malpighiales; Euphorbiaceae
Source: RNAcentral